GACGAACGCUGGCGGCAGGCUUAACACAUGCAAGUCGAACGCCCCGCAAGGGGAGUGGCAGACGGGUGAGUAACGCGUGGGAACGUACCUCUCAGUUCGGAAUAACUCAGGGAAACUUGUGCUAAUACCGGAUACGCUCGUAAGAGGAAAGAUUUAUCGCUGAAAGAUCGGCCCGCGUUGGAUUAGCUAGUUGGUGGGGUAAUGGCCUACCAAGGCGACGAUCCAUAGCUGGUCUGAGAGGAUGAUCAGCCACACUGGGACUGAGACACGGCCCAGACUCCUACGGGAGGCAGCAGUGGGGAAUAUUGGACAAUGGGCGAAAGCCUGAUCCAGCCAUGCCGCGUGAGUGAUGAAGGCCCUAGGGUUGUAAAGCUCUUUCACCGAUGAAGAUAAUGACGGUAGUCGGAGAAGAAGCCCCGGCUAACUUCGUGCCAGCCGCCGCCGUAA
Molecule: ribosomal RNA, 447 nt
Filed under: uncultured bacterium
Lineage: Bacteria
Description: partial 16S ribosomal RNA
Rfam family: Bacterial small subunit ribosomal RNA
Source: RNAcentral